CUCACACCCAUGUGUGUAGGAUUCCAAAAGAUCACCAUUAAAUUUGACACAGAUUUUUAGAAAUGUUAUCACAUGGGUGUGGAACUUAACUUUUCUAUAGAUCUGUGCCAAAUUUAAUGAUGAUCCUUUGGAGUCCUACACACAUGGGUGUGGG
Amborella trichopoda is the source of this 154-nucleotide non-coding RNA. The record is from Rfam. NCBI's taxonomy places the organism in Eukaryota, Viridiplantae, Streptophyta, Magnoliopsida, Amborellales, Amborellaceae.